RNAcentral lists this long non-coding RNA (366 nucleotides) under Capsicum annuum. Its description in RNAcentral is "long non-coding RNA (CANN_LNC000851)". The record is from RNAcentral. Lineage: Eukaryota; Viridiplantae; Streptophyta; Magnoliopsida; Solanales; Solanaceae.
UCAUUUCUUUCACAGAAUUCCAAAUGAACCAAUUUUCAGGAUCAACACUAUGAUGAUCAAAGCUGUUAAAAGUCAUGAUAUCCCAACCAUUUUGGUGUAUGUUGUAUGUGUUACAUGUUCUCAUGUGCAUAAAAGGAAAUUAUGUGCUAUAGCAAUAUCUGUGUUUGACCCGUUAGUGGACUACACUGGGUAUGUUGUUGAUGAUGUAACAAUAUCUGUGUAUGUUCUUGGAUGUUAAAUGAUGUUUGGAACCUGUUAAACAGAAUUCAGAUUCGUUUCAAGUAGUUCAACCUACGUCCGAGUAGAAAAAGAGAACACUUAAAUAUCUCUGGUGCAAUGGGAAGGAAAAUUGUGAUUCACGAGAUA